GACGAACGCUGGCGGCGUGCUUAACACAUGCAAGUCGAACGGAAAGGCCCUGCAUUUGUGGGGUGCUCGAGUGGCGAACGGGUGAGUAACACGUGAGUAACCUGCCCUUGACUCUGGGAUAACUUCAGGAAACUGGGGCUAAUACCGGAUCGGAGCUCCUGCUGCAUGGUGGGGGUUGGAAAGUUUCGGCGGUUGGGGAUGGACUCGCGGCUUAUCAGCUUGUUGGUGGGGUAGUGGCUUACCAAGGCUUUGACGGGUAGCCGGCCUGAGAGGGUGACCGGCCACAUGGGGACUGAGAUACGGCCCAGACUCCUACGGGAGGCAGCAGUGGGGAAGAGUGCACGAUGGGCGGAAGCCUGAUGCAGCAACGCCGCGUGCGGGAUGACGGCCUUCGGGUUGUAAACCGCUUACGCCUGUGACGAAGCGUGAGUGAAGGUAAUGGGUAAAGAAGCACCGGCUAACUACGUG
Molecule: ribosomal RNA, 468 nt
Filed under: uncultured bacterium
Lineage: Bacteria
Description: partial 16S ribosomal RNA
Rfam family: Bacterial small subunit ribosomal RNA
Source: RNAcentral